Molecule: long non-coding RNA, 689 nt
Organism: Parasteatoda tepidariorum (common house spider)
Lineage: Eukaryota; Metazoa; Arthropoda; Arachnida; Araneae; Theridiidae
Source: RefSeq, a predicted model, not a curated record
CGAUUGCGUCCCAAUUUUUUCUUAUCCAGAAAUCAGUCUCUCAGUCGCACAAGAAAUAGUGAGUUCUUUUCCGUGGAAAUCUGAAAGCAUGAAAAAAUCGUGAUUUCAGUUUUAUAUCUUUUCAUUAACUUUUAUAGAUACAAAUUGAGAAUGGAGUCUACACAUAAAAUGAUUGAGAAAUUCUAUACUCCUGAAAUCCGUUAUUACUCAUUUGGAAUGCAAAUGCGCUAUCUUUUUUUACUCUUUGCAACUCAACAUGAAGAAACAAUAGAUAACGCACUUAGUGAAAUACCAGCCUUAUCACUGAUGUCUGCUUUUGGUCUAAGGAAGAUCAGAUAAAUCCGGCCACUAAAUAAUAGAAAUUGAAUGAUAUAAAUCUUGUCAGAAUCAAUUUGAUGAACUGGAAAGGACUCAUGGAGAAUUCGAUUUUAAAAAUAGACCAAGAAAAUAUAUUUCGAACCAGCUUCAUCUGUAUUAUUUUGUUGCUUCGUUCCAGUGAAAAUCAGCGUAAAAGAAGUUUCUGCGUUACUAAGAAUAAAUAAAUAUCAAAAAACAAAAUAUCUAUUUAUCUGAAAUUUAAAUAGCAUUAUUUCUCCAUUUUUAUUUAAUUUCAGCUGAUUAUAUAAUUGUACGAGUACUAAUUUAUUUUAAAGUGCCAUUAAUUAAAAUUGUGCUAUUCAUAAAAGGAG